RNAcentral lists this long non-coding RNA (806 nucleotides) under Brassica napus (rape). Its description in RNAcentral is "long non-coding RNA (BNAP_LNC011722)". Lineage: Eukaryota; Viridiplantae; Streptophyta; Magnoliopsida; Brassicales; Brassicaceae. The record is from RNAcentral.
UUUUGGACAAGAUUGGAGAUUCUGAAGCACUUUGGAAGUUGGGGAGAGUUGGAUCGGAAAACAUCAAGUCAGAGUCGAUAUUUUGGCCUGGUGUCGAUCACACCAAUCGUAGUAAUCACUUCUCAACGAGUUUUUAAAGAAUUUUCAAGAAUUGAAUACAGGCCCAAAGUUUCCAUUAUUUUCAAAAAAUCCGCUUCGUGUUUUAGACUUUAUCAGGUUUAUGAAAUUUUGUAAUUCCUUCUUUAGAAUUAAAGAGAGAGGUUUCUUUAUAGCUUUUGGAGAUAAAAUCAGAACUCGGUAGAGAGUAGAUUUUGAACUCCCUUAUUACUUUAUUGAGUUCUUAAUGCAUUGUAUUUAUUCAUUGAUUUGGGUUUCUGUUAUCAUGUUUGAGUAACGUACUUGUUAAAUUUAGUGUAUUUCUAGGGUUUAUGAAUUGUUAAAUUGAUAGAAUUUUAGGCUAAAAUUAUAUCUUCAUCUUGAUUGAUCUUAAUGCUAGUUCUAGAUUGACAACCUAGAAUCUAGAUCUUAAGAUAGUUAGUAGACACAAAGUGUUAUUGAUUGGCUGGAUUAAUUUUAUAUGAACAAAAUACCUAUUUGCAAAGAGAUUUUGUUUAUGAAUUUUGUGAAUUUAUCAAACUUGUGUUGAAUGAUUGUCUGAACUAUUGAAUUAGCAAAGAGAUUUGAAAUUUUAGGAUCUAGACAUAGAUAGUCUAUGCAACGAAAGUUGAUUGACUUGAAUACUGUAAUUUGAGUUCAAGAAUGUUCUUCAUAUAACCCUUAGUAAUCUAUCUGGUAUGCAAUUUUUA